AACGAACGCUGGCGGCAUGCCUAAUACAUGCAAGUCGAACGAGCACUUCGGUGUUAGUGGCGGACGGGUGAGUAACAUGUGGGAACGUGCCUUUUGGUUCGGAAUAGCUCCUGGAAACGGGUGGUAAUGCCGAAUGUGCCCUUCGGGGGAAAGAUUUAUCGCCAUUAGAGCGGCCCGCGUCUGAUUAGCUAGUUGGUGAGGUAAUGGCUCACCAAGGCGACGAUCAGUAGCUGGUCUGAGAGGAU
This 245-nucleotide ribosomal RNA is filed under the name uncultured soil bacterium. Its description in RNAcentral is "partial 16S ribosomal RNA". It matches the Rfam family "Bacterial small subunit ribosomal RNA", at positions 29 to 301 of the family's 1533-position model. The record is from RNAcentral.